UUGUUGGAGAUAGAUCAUGCAAAUGAAAUAUAUAAAAUGGCAGGGUCUGUGAUGAGCUAGCUGCUUUCUCGAUCAGCUAGUGCAUAAUCGAAUCUGGAGUGGUUCGGUGGGAAUGAGAUGUCCACUUUUUCUUCAACAAUUUCUCUGUAGAUUUUUUUUAUUUGCUAGCUGAUGUUGUUGGAGGGGGGAAAUAAUGCAACUGAAAAAUAUAAAAAUGGCAGGGACUGUGGACCAAGGUCCACCUGCACUGAGCCGAAAAUCGGCGCCUGACCGACACGCUCGGUUACUUAACCGCAGCCGGUUAUGCAGAGGCACUUGAUCGAUAUAUUACCCUUCUCCUUCUCAUCGUUAUCCUUCUCCCCCAAUUUGAUUCAGCUCCCGGAAUCCUAAAUUAGAAGGUGUUGUUUCGAAUAAGUCACUCGAUUGGCGGCGGCGGCGUAUUGGGUUUGGUUGCGAGUUCCUGCUGCGAGUAGCUUUGGGAUCUGCAGGAGAUCUAAUGUUGUCAUCUCGUAUCCGGAAUACCAGCUCUGAUGGGAAGCCAUUUAAAUUCACGUUUGCGUAUUACACUUAUUAUUCUGUUUCAGAUAUCAGGAGCUGUCGCUUUUGAGAAAAUUUUGAUCUACUCAUAUCAGUCUGCAUUGUUCCAAACAGUCCCCACUAUCCCCAAAACAAAAAUACCACCAAUUAAUUGACCUGGUUGGGCUGACCUGGCAGCAGCUGGAGCACCCAAAUCUGGGAACUUGACUUAUGGUUAGGCAUUGUUUGUCAUUUUAUAUGUAAUUGGAUGCACAAUUUUACGACAACUUGUUAGAGAGACUAAAUCUUCUCCUGAAAUCAAGUCAUCUAAUUCUUCUCCAUUGAUUUGUUCAUAGGCUGUUUUCAUACUGGGCUAUAAUUGCUUAUCAGUUUUUUAUUCUAGCUGUAAAUAUAGUUUAAUGCCUGCAUUGUAACAGCAGUUUAUUACUGCUAUAUAUGUGUACAAUUGUAAACAUCAAUACAAGGAAAAUUACUUUCUACAUGGUAUCAAAGCUCAAUAUGAAAACAGCCUAUGAACAAAUCAAUGGAGAAGAAUUAGAUGACUUGAUUUCAGGAGAAGAUUUAGUCUCUCUAACACAACUUCAUGUCAUUAUCUGCAUGACAUACAAGUUGGGAAUCGGUAUUUCAGGACGUCCUUUUAUUUUUUUUUAUUUUUUCUAAGUUUCUAUUUCUUUUGUAAUUAGUCAAGUUGUGUUAUUAUUUCGUGGGUUGAUAUCAUGCCUAUCUUAUAUAGAAGCUAUCACUUUUGAGAAAUUAAUGUAUUCGUGUCUUUCACUAUUGUU
This is an RNA transcript of Rosa rugosa (rugosa rose), 1319 nucleotides long. It is a transcript of the gene named putative glucose-6-phosphate 1-epimerase, with no coding region annotated. The transcript is spliced from 3 exons. The record is from RefSeq and is a predicted model, not a curated record. Lineage: Eukaryota; Viridiplantae; Streptophyta; Magnoliopsida; Rosales; Rosaceae.